This 106-nucleotide ribosomal RNA is filed under the name Oenococcus oeni. RNAcentral's name for it is "partial 23S ribosomal RNA". It matches the Rfam family "Bacterial large subunit ribosomal RNA", at positions 2820 to 2925 of the family's 2925-position model. Lineage: Bacteria; Bacillati; Bacillota; Bacilli; Lactobacillales; Lactobacillaceae. The record is from RNAcentral.
CGUCAGAAGUAAGACCCCUGAGAGACGAUCAGGUAGAUAGGCUAGAAGUGGAAGUGUAGUGAUGCAUGGAGCGGACUAGUACUAAUAGGUCGAGGACUUAACCAAG